Molecule: transfer RNA, 80 nt
Filed under: Arsenicicoccus piscis
Lineage: Bacteria; Bacillati; Actinomycetota; Actinomycetes; Micrococcales; Intrasporangiaceae
Description: tRNA-Ser
Source: RNAcentral
GGCCGUGCUGGAUGAGCUGACCGGGCUGCUGGAGUCGGCCGGGUCUGCCGGGUCGGCCGGUUCUGCUCCGGUCGUCGUCG